This 416-nucleotide ribosomal RNA is filed under the name uncultured bacterium. RNAcentral's name for it is "bacterial SSU rRNA". It matches the Rfam family "Bacterial small subunit ribosomal RNA", at positions 355 to 786 of the family's 1533-position model. The record is from RNAcentral.
UGGGGAAUAUUGGGCAAUGGGCGCAAGCCUGACCCAGCAACGCCGCGUGAAGGAAGAAGGCUUUCGGGUUGUAAACUUCUUUUCUCAGGGACGAAGCAAGUGACGGUACCUGAGGAAUAAGCCACGGCUAACUACGUGCCAGCAGCCGCGGUAAUACGUAGGUGGCAAGCGUUAUCCGGAUUUACUGGGUGUAAAGGGCGUGUAGGCGGGAAAGCAAGUCAGAUGUGAAAACCAUGGGCUCAACCCAUGGCCUGCAUUUGAAACUGUUUUCUUGAGUACUGGAGAGGCAGACGGAAUUCCUAGUGUAGCGGUGAAAUGCGUAGAUAUUAGGAGGAACACCAGUGGCGAAGGCGGUCUGCUGGACAGCAACUGACGCUGAGGCGCGAAAGCGUGGGGAGCAAACAGGAUUAGAUACC